CCUACGGGUGGCAGCAGUGAGGAAUAUUGGUCAAUGGACGCAAGUCUGAACCAGCCAUGCCGCGUGCAGGAAGACGGCUCUAUGAGUUGUAAACUGCUUUUGUACGAGGGUAAACGCAGAUACGUGUAUCUGUCUGCAAGUAUCUUACGAAUAAGGAUCGGCUAACUCCGUGCCAGCAGCCGCAGUAAUACGGAGGAUUCGAGCGUUAUCCGGAUUUAUUGGGUUUAAAGGGUGCGUAGGCGGUCGGAUAAGUUAGAUGUGAAAUUCCGAGGCUCAACUUCGAAAUUGCCUCUGAUACUGUUCGGCUAGAGAGUAGUUGCGGUAGGCGGAAUGUAUGGUGUAGCGGUGAAAUGCUUAGAGAUCAUACAGAACACCGAUUGCGAAGGCAGCUUACCAAACUACUUCUGACGUUGAGGCACGAAAGCGUGGGGAGCAAACAGGAUUAGAUACCCCUGUAGUC
Molecule: ribosomal RNA, 460 nt
Filed under: uncultured bacterium
Lineage: Bacteria
Description: partial 16S ribosomal RNA
Rfam family: Bacterial small subunit ribosomal RNA
Source: RNAcentral